Labeo rohita (rohu) is the source of this 626-nucleotide long non-coding RNA. RefSeq lists it as uncharacterized. Lineage: Eukaryota; Metazoa; Chordata; Actinopteri; Cypriniformes; Cyprinidae. The record is from RefSeq and is a predicted model, not a curated record. The transcript has 3 exons.
GAGCCUGAAGAUGGACAUCACAUGUGUUGCUGGACAGAAGCAGGAACUCUGAUGGGAUUUCGUAGCUUUUAACAGGAACUAGAAAUGCGGCAGGUGUAACAAGCUUGCUCGGUAGCUCAGCCGGCAGGAUGUAGAAUCCCUGGAUACGAAUCCCGUGAAAAACAUGAUUCACGAUGAAAGAGCUGAAAGAUGAGAGCUUGAAAAACAAGGAAAUUAUGCUUCUCCAGGGAACUUCCUGUAUCUCUGCAACUCUGGAAACUUGCUGCACUGACAACUCUGUUUCAGAGACACACAACAAGCUUGUUGUCUUUCAUUGAACACUGACAGUCAACACUAUUGUGUUAAUUAAUUAUCAUAUGGCUCGACAGUCAUGUUAUGCCAACACAGGCUAAUUUUACAGCUGGCAUAUGGACUGUAUCAAUAUGUGCCAGCCAGAGCAGGAUGGAUGCCCAUUUUUGAAUUUUACCUUCUCUGCACGUUUCUUCUCCCACUAGUUUUAUCAUCAUCCCCGAACUGCUUACUAAAGAUAUCAGUGCUAAGUAAUUUUCAAACUUUGUACUUGAAAAAAAAAACUGCAAUAUUUAGAGUUAGACUUCCAUUUAAAUACUUUAAACCAAUUUUACAGA